UUAAUGAGAGUUUGAUCCUGGCUCAGGACGAACGCUGGCGGCGUGCCUAAUACAUGCAAGUAGAACGCUGAAGAGAGGAGCUUGCUCUUCUUGGAUGAGUUGCGAACGGGUGAGUAACGCGUAGGUAACCUGCCUUGUAGCGGGGGAUAACUAUUGGAAACGAUAGCUAAUACCGCAUAACAAUGGAUGACACAUGUCAUUUAUUUGAAAGGGGCAAUUGCUCCACUACAAGAUGGACCUGCGUUGUAUUAGCUAGUAGGUGAGGUAACGGCUCACCUAGGCGACGAUACAUAGCCGACCUGAGAGGGUGAUCGGCCACACUGGGACUGAGACACGGCCCAGACUCCUACGGGAGGCAGCAGUAGGGAAUCUUCGGCAAUGGGGGCAACCCUGACCGAGCAACGCCGCGUGAGUGAAGAAGGUUUUCGGAUCGUAAAGCUCUGUUGUAAGUCAAGAACGAGUGUGAGAGUGGAAAAUUCACACUGUGACGGUAGCUUACCAGAAAGGGACGGCUAACUACGUGCCAGCAGCCGCGGUAAUACGUAGGUCCCGAGCGUUGUCCGGAUUUAUUGGGCGUAAAGCGAGCGCAGGCGGUUUGAUAAGUCUGAAGUUAAAGGCUGUGGCUCAACCAUAGUUCGCUUUGGAAACUGUCAAACUUGAGUGCAGAAGGGGAGAGUGGAAUUCCAUGUGUAGCGGUGAAAUGCGUAGAUAUAUGGAGGAACACCGGUGGCGAAAGCGGCUCUCUGGUCUGUAACUGACGCUGAGGCUCGAAAGCGUGGGGAGCGAACAGGAUUAGAUACCCUGGUAGUCCACGCCGUAAACGAUGAGUGCUAGGUGUUGGAUCCUUUCCGGGAUUCAGUGCCGCAGCUAACGCAUUAAGCACUCCGCCUGGGGAGUACGACCGCAAGGUUGAAACUCAAAGGAAUUGACGGGGGCCCGCACAAGCGGUGGAGCAUGUGGUUUAAUUCGAAGCAACGCGAAGAACCUUACCAGGUCUUGACAUCCCGAUGCUAUUUCUAGAGAUAGAAAGUUACUUCGGUACAUCGGUGACAGGUGGUGCAUGGUUGUCGUCAGCUCGUGUCGUGAGAUGUUGGGUUAAGUCCCGCAACGAGCGCAACCCCUAUUGUUAGUUGCCAUCAUUCAGUUGGGCACUCUAGCGAGACUGCCGGUAAUAAACCGGAGGAAGGUGGGGAUGACGUCAAAUCAUCAUGCCCCUUAUGACCUGGGCUACACACGUGCUACAAUGGUUGGUACAACGAGUUGCGAGUCGGUGACGGCAAGCUAAUCUCUUAAAGCCAAUCUC
This 1303-nucleotide ribosomal RNA is filed under the name Streptococcus salivarius. RNAcentral's name for it is "bacterial SSU rRNA". It matches the Rfam family "Bacterial small subunit ribosomal RNA", at positions 1 to 1289 of the family's 1533-position model. The record is from RNAcentral. Lineage: Bacteria; Bacillati; Bacillota; Bacilli; Lactobacillales; Streptococcaceae.